Molecule: long non-coding RNA, 348 nt
Organism: Perca flavescens (yellow perch)
Lineage: Eukaryota; Metazoa; Chordata; Actinopteri; Perciformes; Percidae
Exons: 4
Source: RefSeq, a predicted model, not a curated record
UAGGACGAAAAUACCAAGAAAGACGUUAUCGGCUGUCAACAGUAAAGUCUUUCCUCUGCUUAAGACUGCUAGCCCGAAUGCUAACGCGGGAAACAAGUUAGCUUUCCACAGCUAGCUAUGCUGCGAGCGCUGCAUCAAAAGUUCUGUCAAAGUUCGCGACAGAGACUGAGCCUUCCCUCGGUGAUGUUUUAGCCGCCAUAAGGAACCUGGACAACAAGAUGAAUCCGUUCCACAAGAAAGAAAGCGUUCCAGGACGGAGCGUGUGUCUGGAAGCCCUGUCUGUCAGCAGAUGUCACUGCCUCCACCACGUGCAUAUGAGUCAACACCACACAGGAAACCAGCCGGUCG